Centropristis striata (black sea bass) is the source of this 2328-nucleotide long non-coding RNA. RefSeq lists it as uncharacterized. The transcript has 3 exons. The record is from RefSeq and is a predicted model, not a curated record. Lineage: Eukaryota; Metazoa; Chordata; Actinopteri; Perciformes; Serranidae.
UCAUGUUUGUACAUUUUCAAGGUGUUUUACAAUGUUGUGAUGCUUUUAUUUUGAAAAGGUGCCGUCCAGUGUGAAACGGGUGCUUUUAUUUUGAAAGGUAAUGACAGGAAAUAACAGGUGGAACGGUAAAAUGAAAAACGAACGGUAAAUAAUAACGAGUGCGUCAUUAUUCAUAUAAAGUUGAUAUAAAGUAUCAAAAGGCUUCUAUAGUGGCUGGCUGACAGGACACAAGGAACAAAGUCUCGGUGCACCUUUGAGCUCACACCACUGCACAUGACUGUGACUCACCCGCAGAACAAGGCAGAGGGAGAACAGGCAAGAACACACCAGAUAAUGCUGUGUUCGAUUGCACUCGGAACUCGGAAAGAUCCGACCUCCGAGUCGGAAAAGUGCAAUAGAACGUUCAACUAGGGAUUCCGACUCUGGAAUUCUGGUAGGAUCCGAGCAGCCUGAGUAGGUCGGGAAUACGUGGAAAACAUCAAAGCAAAAUGGCGCCACACACCGUGAGAGGUAAACAGUCACUUUAUCUUCAACAUUUAGUCUGUUAUGUCUCGUUUAAUUUAGCAUUUGUGUUACUAAAAGUGUAGGAUUACUUUGUGGUGGUAUUUGCACUCCAACUCUGUUAAUUAAAGAGUUUGUGUGAGCACAGUAGGGACGAAAAAGCACAGUAAAAGUGUAAAAAAUAUUGUAGUUUUUCCCAUAUUUAAACUACAUUAAUCUAUAAGGUGUAAUACUGCACUUCUUUUUAUUGUAUCCAGGAAAUUGAUAAGAUUUAAUUAUAUUUUUGUCUCUUAAGUAUUUGCAGACCACAAUUCCACCCUAUAUUUGGACCCCAAGAGGACACAAACCAUUUAACUGUAUGUUGUACCAGGUAGCUGAUGUACUUCCCCAGAAUAAUUUUUAAAUGCUCCAAAGACAUCCAAACAAACAUCAACUCGCUGUGGUCGGCCAUGUUCUCUGAGGUUGAGCAAUGAAACGCAUUUACCUCGAAAGUCGGAAUUUCCAACUCAGAUCUUUCCGAGUUCCGAGUGCUAUCGAACGCAGCAUUAACCUAUUAAUUGUUGGUCUAUUUUUUUUAAAUCUGAUGUACAUAUUUUUGCUAAUAUUUUGACUUGCAGUAAGUAGAAAUGUAUAUAUACAGGACUUUUUGAUUGAAACAUAGGACUUCUAAAUGAUGGGUCUGCUACUUUUUCUUAAGAAAAAGAUGUGAGUGAUUCUUCCACCACUGUCCUCUGUGCAGCAGUGAACAGGAUCUGACUGCUGCAGCUGACAGAUGGGCUCUGUCCCUCCAUCUUUACUUCUCUUUGAUCUUUGCUGUCUGUGACUGUCAGUCUGCCCCCUGUCCAGCUGUUGCAGGAAGGGUGAAUGCCAGACGAUGCAAGACAGUUGCAGAGAUGCCAGCUGCCAGGAUGCCCUCAAACUGGCAUCUUAGAAACUCCUGAGGGGCCGGGGUGGGGGUCUGCACCGUACUGUACCACUCUGCAUCGAGUAGAUCGGACUGACUCUUUUGGUGCUUUUGCUUCUGUUUGGUUGUUUUUGUCUGAGAGAGGGGCUCUGUCAACCUUAACAUAUUAAACCUCUCAAGUCCAGGAGAUUUUGGUUCAGAUUUGUCAACUUCCUCUGCAUUAAUUUCUGUCUCUGUUUAGCAUCUUUCAGUCUGUCCUUACAUCACAUGCAUGGCUCCUUUUUCUCCACACAAACUUGGCUAUCAGUCGGAUUUUUCAUUUUAUUUUAAUUAACAAAGUAUGAAAGCUGCUAAAGCUAAUACAUAAUAAAAACAAAACAAUUUGCAUGUAAAUUGAAAAUGGUAAUGGUUUUAAUUGUGGAAAGAAAAUUCACAAUUUAAAAAAGGUCUAGAAACAUAAAUGUCACACUGUGAAAGCUCCUAUGAUGAACUUUCAACUGGCUUUCUCAGCUUGUCUACAUAUCAUAUAAAUAUAGUUAUUACUGUAAACAAACAUGUGGAUUCUCAAUAAAUAGAUGGACUCCAGAGGGUUAAUGAAGAGACAUAUUUUGAAAAAAGCAAAGAGGGUUGGACCGGUGUAAACAUUUUCAAAUCAAUUUGAUAUUUAUCCACCAGACAGGACUGGUAUACUGAAUUUUACCAAAUAGUGUCCCAUUUGACUCCAGAGUGAAACAUAAUGAGACUGAGAGUGCCCAUGAAUCCAGCAACUCCUGUCGGGAAAAUAUAUUUUUGCGUAAUCUUGACUAAAACAACCAGAUUUAAUGCAAGUACACUUCUUGACAAAAGAUUUCUUAAAUUAAGAUUAUUAAAUCUAGAAACAAGCAUGUUGUAUGCUUAAAAUAAAUCUCUUAAAACAAGAUAAA